RNAcentral lists this transfer RNA (64 nucleotides) under Solen grandis (grand razor shell). RNAcentral describes it as "tRNA-Lys". Lineage: Eukaryota; Metazoa; Mollusca; Bivalvia; Adapedonta; Solenidae. The record is from RNAcentral.
UUUGUGGUAGCUAAGUUUAAGCAAUAGGCUUUUAACCUUUGGAUGCACACUGGUGCUCACAAAU